AGUUCAGCGCAGCGGCGAUAUCGUACCCAAUGAGGAACAUCCGAGGUGGGAUUAUUGCUAAUUGAAGAAAUUCAAUUGAUUAUUAAGCCAACGUCAACCUUGUGGUUAUAUCAAUUAUUAAAACUUGAAUGAAA
This is a small nuclear RNA of Toxorhynchites rutilus septentrionalis, 134 nucleotides long. RefSeq annotates it as U4 spliceosomal RNA. The record is from RefSeq and is a predicted model, not a curated record. The transcript has a single exon. Lineage: Eukaryota; Metazoa; Arthropoda; Insecta; Diptera; Culicidae.